RNAcentral lists this unclassified non-coding RNA (1934 nucleotides) under Hevea brasiliensis (rubber tree). Lineage: Eukaryota; Viridiplantae; Streptophyta; Magnoliopsida; Malpighiales; Euphorbiaceae. The record is from RNAcentral.
GUUUUUUCUUUAUUAUGCAUAUGUGUAUACAACAAAUACAUUAUUUUAUAAUUUAUCUAGCAUCUCAAAUGUGUAUAUAAAGCUAUCCAGCUGCAAUUCCAUCUUGUUGUUCUCAAUUGUGGUUAUAUAUGUUGUCUUCAGUACUGUAACUAGGAAACUUUUCAUGUGUGAAACAUGCCCUUUAAUUUCGUCGUAUGAAAUUGGCAUGGCUAUUUUUCCCAUAUCCAUUCUCCAUUUUUGUUUGAGGAAUGAUCACAAAUAGAUAAAUGCUUCAAAGCUUAUAUUCAUAAAAAAUAAAAAUAAAAAUGAAGAUUUGGAAUGGUAUAUAGCAGGUUUUCAUUGGCUACUGGAUCAAUAUUUUACUUUAUUUUUUCAUUUAUCACUUCCAAAGAGAAAAGGUAAAUCUUCAUAGUAGGCCUUGCAUGUGUUGCCCAUCUGGUGAUUUCAGCAAUGAUGUUUAUGGAACGUAUGGUCAGCAAUUACUUGAUUUAUAUAUGGUCAAGAAAUUGUGCUGCUAGUUUCACUCUUGAUCUCACACUAACAGAAAACUUUAUGUCAUGGCCAGUUCAUUUUGCAAUGGCUAAUGUCAACUGUCCAAUUUGUGAAUGAACGUGCUAAUUGAAUCCAGUCUGUAUGACUAAACUGAUCAGACUAAUGCAAAUGUGUAGAUACACUGCAAAUGCAUAUGGUGAUUAAUAUCAAGCCAACAAUUGUUUUACUGAGGUCAUCAAUUUUCAUAUAAAAUGGCUACAUAGAGGCGUGCUGUUAUUUUUUCAUGGGCAUCCAAUGCCCUGUGAGUAACUUUCUGGUGUUAACUUUCUGUUCAGCUGCUAUGGUAGUUGAUUUGAUUUUGAUCAACAUAUUUAUAUCCCAGAGUGGUUAGCCUGGUCUAUGAGAUAACGUUAAUGUGAAACUAGCUUCUGCCAGGCCUGCAGUAAAGUUGGAGCUGCUGGAUCUGACCCAAUACUAAACAAAAUCCCAGAUUUCAAAGAUGCAUGCUGGAGAUUUCUAAGGCCCCAUACGAUCCGUGGAACAGCUCUAGGGUCCACUGCUUUGGUGGCAAGAGCAUUACUUGAGAAUUCAAAUCUGAUAAAGUGGUCACUGCUGUUGAAGGCAUUCUCUGGCCUUUUUGCUCUAAUAUGUGGAAAUGGUUAUAUAGUUGGCAUCAAUCAGAUCUAUGAUAUUGGAAUUGACAAGGUUAAUAAACCUUAUUUACCUAUAGCCGCAGGGGAUCUUUCAGUUCAAUCUGCAUGGUUACUGGUGACAUUUUUCGCAGUGACUGGAUUCCUUGUUGUUGGAUUAAACUUUGGUCCAUUCAUCACUUCUCUUUACUGCCUUGGUCUUUUCUUGGGCACCAUCUACUCUGUUCCUCCAUUUAGAAUGAAGAGAUUUGCUGUUGUGGCAUUUCUCAUAAUUGCUACGGUGCGCGGUUUUCUUCUCAAUUUUGGAGUAUAUCAUGCCACAAGAGCUGCGCUUGGACUUCCAUUUGAGUGGAGCUCACCUGUGGCAUUCAUCACAAUCUUUGUAACUUUGUUUGCGCUGGUUAUUGCCAUAACGAAAGAUCUUCCAGAUGUAGAGGGGGAUCGCAAGUACAAGAUAUCAACUUUGGCAACAAAUCUUGGAGUUAGAAACAUUGCAUUUCUUGGGACUGGGCUUUUGCUGUUGAAUUACAUUGGUGCCGUGUGGGCAGCAAUUUACAUGCCUCAGGCUUUCAGGCGUAGCCUAAUGAUACCUGCACAUACAAUCCUAGCAGCAUGCCUGAUAUUCCAGGCAUGGCUGUUAGAACGAGCAAAUUACACAAAGGAAGCAAUCUCUGCAUUCUAUCGGUUUAUAUGGAAUCUCUUUUAUGCUGAAUAUAUCAUAUUUCCUUUUAUAUAGAUGAAUUUGCAUUUCUUUAGCCUUUUCCAGAGCACAGAGAGAGAGAGAGAGAGAGA